GUAGGCGGCACCUUCCAUCUUUCGACUUUCGAAGUGACUGAUCUUAUCACGCCAGAAAAGUGUUCUACAUCAAAAAGAUCUUUUUUCCUCGUUCGCAAGGAAGCAUAGUAGGGCUGGUUUAAUAUCUCAAAAUACAUCCAGAAAUACCGCCAAGAGGUAAUUGCGUUACUUCAAGCAACCCAAUGUCUGACAGAGUCACGCUUUUCGUAUCCACCAACACUAUGCAGACGCGCGCUUUCCGAAGUCACUCAUACAACCCCCCUCCCCCAACACCCUUAUCUCAACGAUCCAGACGAACAUUGAGCCUCCCAGCCCGAGAGAAGCCUUUAAUACCACCUGUGAUUUCGGAAAAUCCCGAGUACUUCCAAACGGUUCACGAGCAAUGCCUUAGUGAGGAUCAACCAUGUUCCAGAGAAGCUUGUGACGACGUCGGUUGGAUAUCUCCGAUUAUAGGAUUUUUAAUCAGUCUCUUCCUAUUUGCUUGGGCGUGCCUACUUUCAAUGUCCGUAAAUGGUAGAGAAGAUUCAUGGUGAUCCUUGAAUCUCACUGGUUCUUCAUAAUUCUCUUUUCAAGAUGUACAACGAACGAUCAUUUAAGUAACAUGUUUAAAAAAAAAUUAUCAUCAUCAUCGUCGUCAUCGUCUUCAUCGUCAUUUUCGUCGUCAUCGUCAUCAUUCUAAUCAUCAUAAAGAAAAUGAUCUCCAUUUAUUCCUUGUACUCGGAGACAAACAAAAUCUUUUUGACUAAAAACAAAAGUAAAAUGUAGAAUAUUUAAUAAGUUGAAGACGGCAAUUAUUGUUUCCUUUAAAUUUUCCUAUUAUAGUAGACCCUGUAUUGAGCGGUCACCCACGGGGAACGGCGUGACCGCCUUAUAUAGGUUAACUGCUUAAUGCAGGUUCCACAGAAUAAACAAUAAAC
Pocillopora verrucosa is the source of this 917-nucleotide long non-coding RNA. RefSeq lists it as uncharacterized. Lineage: Eukaryota; Metazoa; Cnidaria; Anthozoa; Scleractinia; Pocilloporidae. The record is from RefSeq and is a predicted model, not a curated record.